AUUGAACGCUGGCGGCAGGCCUAACACAUGCAAGUCGAGCGGAUGAAGGGAGCUUGCUCCUGGAUUCAGCGGCGGACGGGUGAGUAAUGCCUAGGAAUCUGCCUGGUAGUGGGGGAUAACGUCCGGAAACGGGCGCUAAUACCGCAUACGUCCUGAGGGAGAAAGUGGGGGAUCUUCGGACCUCACGCUAUCAGAUGAGCCUAGGUCGGAUUAGCUAGUUGGUGGGGUAAAGGCCUACCAAGGCGACGAUCCGUAACUGGUCUGAGAGGAUGAUCAGUCACACUGGAACUGAGACACGGUCCAGACUCCUACGGGAGGCAGCAGUGGGGAAUAUUGGACAAUGGGCGAAAGCCUGAUCCAGCAAUGCCGCGUGUGUGAAGAAGGUCUUCGGAUUGUAAAGCACUUUAAGUUGGGAGGAAGAGCAGUAAGUUAAUACAUUGCUGUUUUGACGUUACCAACAGAAUAAGCACCGGCUAACUUCGUG
RNAcentral lists this ribosomal RNA (484 nucleotides) under uncultured bacterium. RNAcentral describes it as "partial 16S ribosomal RNA". It matches the Rfam family "Bacterial small subunit ribosomal RNA", at positions 30 to 507 of the family's 1533-position model. The record is from RNAcentral.